This 253-nucleotide ribosomal RNA is filed under the name uncultured bacterium. Its description in RNAcentral is "partial 16S ribosomal RNA". It matches the Rfam family "Bacterial small subunit ribosomal RNA", at positions 524 to 776 of the family's 1533-position model. The record is from RNAcentral.
UACGUAGGGUGCGAGCGUUGUCCGGAAUUAUUGGGCGUAAAGGGCUCGUAGGCGGUCUGUCGCGUCGGGAGUGAAAACUCAGGGCUUAACCCUGAGCCUGCUUCCGAUACGGGCAGACUAGAGGUAUGCAGGGGAGAACGGAAUUCCUGGUGUAGCGGUGGAAUGCGCAGAUAUCAGGAGGAACACCGGUGGCGAAGGCGGUUCUCUGGGCAUUACCUGACGCUGAGACGCGAAAGCGUGGGGAGCAAACAGG